CUUUAAAUAAUUACUUGUCUUGCAUGUAUGCAUGUCUAAGCGUGUGCUCUUUUAUUUUAUCUCUUUCUUUCUAAAACUUAGAGAUCUAAAUUCUUCAAUUAAAAUUGUGACUAUUAAAGUCCGCUUUAAUUAUUCUUCGAAAAGCUAUCUCACACGGCUUAAUAAAUUUCUUUCUUCCGUGGCUUAGGGAAAUCAAAUCCCAUGGACUAAAUUCUAUUAUGGCCGGUGGUCCAUAAAACUUAACGUGGACCAGCUAUUUAAAGAUUUAUUUUCUGGCCCAGAAUGUAUCCCCUUUUUCUUUUCUUAGCAAAAUGGCCCAGCUUCCUUCGUUUCUGUUUUUAUUCACUGAGGCCCAAAGCAAUUAACUGGGCAUGGCCCAAUUACUGCCAAAACAUUCUCCCUUCUCCAUCGGCUAUUCAAUUCUUCCUCAUUCUUUUUCAAGCAAAAACCCCCAAAUUGAAAUGAGAAUCCCUAGAUUCCACACCACCGCUGUGGUGCGCGCGGCAGCUCGCCGUCGAGGCCCUUAUCGUCGCUGUUUCUGUCUCUCAGCCGUCGCCGGGUUAGUCUUCGCCUCCGGUCUCGGCUGCACGUGAUGCGCUACGGCCUGAGCCGCUGCUGUCACGGAGACCUCGCCGUGUUCGUCGCUGGACUCCGUCCGCCGUUCAGCCCACCAGCGCUGGAGCUCUGCGGAUUCGAGCCGUCGUCAGCGUAGGAGAGAGGGCAUCACCUCCGGGACUUCCUGGACACGUGUACAGCGAGGUAGCAUUCGGCACCGUCGUCGUUCCCCAAUCGACUACCGAGCUCACCUUCUCGUCUCAAACUAAGUUCCCUUUCUUAGUUCUUAUUAAAUGAACCCCCCCUUGAAGGUUGGUAGCCUUAGGGUUUUUCUACUUCAUUGUUGGGAGUGUUGUUGGAGACGAUGGGACUCGUUCAUUGCGUUUAGGCGAAAAGAAUUCAAACCUAGUAGCCCAUGUUCUCAUUUAUGGCAGUAGCUACAUUUAAGGUUCUAUCUUAAGUGAUUUGCUAGAUUCAACAUUAGUUCUAUAAGCUUUGUUCUAUGCUUCGCUAUUUCCCUCAAUCUUAAGGUAUGUUCUUUUUUUUUUUUUUUUUUUUGAUAACGUGGGAACCCGCAGCCGCAACCCUUAGGGGGCGCACUGGGUAAACCCCCGGCCCUGUGCAAUAGCCUGCAAACCACACAGAACGGUUAAACCAACCUAGGUUGCCCAUAGCUGACAGGCUCACAGCUCAGGAGGCCAAGAGACUGCCCUUUGCAGGGCUCGAACUCAUAACCUCACGGUUACAAGCCUUUCACAGCCUCGACCAACUGAGCUGGGGGUUGCCCCCAUCUUAAGGGUGUACAUAGGGGAGCUGGGGCGGUUGGAGGAGAACGUGGCUGCCCAGCUGCUGUCUCUGCGACGGGUUCGUUGCCUCGGCCAUCGUGCUCGCUGCCCGGAAUCGACGGGUGCACGGGCCGCGGUGGGUGCGGUUUGGCUCGGGGAAAAGAAAUAGAUCCCCAACGUUUUCUCCCCUUAGCAUUCUUAUGUAUUUUUCUUUAUUUUCAUCGUCAAAAUUUGUAAUACACUAUUUAAAUUGGAAAUUCUAAAUAUCGUGUUUUGUUUA
Molecule: long non-coding RNA, 1620 nt
Organism: Salvia splendens (bonfire salvia)
Lineage: Eukaryota; Viridiplantae; Streptophyta; Magnoliopsida; Lamiales; Lamiaceae
Exons: 2
Source: RefSeq, a predicted model, not a curated record